RNAcentral lists this small nuclear RNA (149 nucleotides) under Urocitellus parryii (Arctic ground squirrel). Its description in RNAcentral is "U4 spliceosomal RNA (ENSUPAG00010003394.1)". It matches the Rfam family "U4 spliceosomal RNA". Rfam says of the family: U4 small nuclear RNA (U4 snRNA) is a component of the major U2-dependent spliceosome. The structure of U4 snRNA from yeast and human has been reported. U4 snRNA presents a k-turn RNA motif in the 5p-SL related to recognition of Snu13 protein. The record is from Rfam by way of RNAcentral. Lineage: Eukaryota; Metazoa; Chordata; Mammalia; Rodentia; Sciuridae.
AGCUUUGCGCAGUGGCAGUAUCGUAGCCAAUGAGGUUUAUCCGAGGCGCAAUUAUUGCUAAUUGAAACAAAAUUAUGAGCUAAAUAAACCUCUUUUCUGCAUAAGUAGAUUACUUUUUUUUAAAUAAUAUUGAAAAGUAGACUAAUCUA